This 633-nucleotide ribosomal RNA is filed under the name Nebria gebleri albimontis. Its description in RNAcentral is "partial large subunit ribosomal RNA". The stretch from base 388 to 546 matches the Rfam family "Bacterial large subunit ribosomal RNA", at positions 2473 to 2632 of the family's 2925-position model. Lineage: Eukaryota; Metazoa; Arthropoda; Insecta; Coleoptera; Carabidae. The record is from RNAcentral.
GUCCUUUAGAAAUUAAUUUAAGGUCUAACCUGCCCACUGAUUUUUUAAAUGGCCGCAGUAAUUUGACUGUGCAAAGGUAGCAUAAUCAUUAGUUUUUUAAUUAAAAGCUUGUAUGAAAGGUUGGACGAAGUAAAAUCUGUCUCUAAUUAAAUUAAUUUAGAAUUUAACUUUUAAGUCAAAAGGCUUAAAUAUUUUUAAAAGACGAGAAGACCCUAUAGAUCUUUAUAAUUUUAUUUAUUAAAUUUAAUUAUGAAUUUUUAAAAUUUUAAUAAUAAAAUUAUUUUAUUGGGGUAAUAUAAAGAUUAAAAUAAUUCUUUUUUUUUAUUAACAUUGAUUUAUGAUUUUUAUGAUCCAAUUAUAUUGAUUUAAAGAUUAAGUUACCUUAGGGAUAACAGCGUAAUUUUUUUAGAGAGUUCUUAUCGAUAAAAAAGUUUGCGACCUCGAUGUUGGAUUAAAGAUUAUUUUAGGUGCAGAAGUUUAAAAAUUUGGUCUGUUCGACCAUUAAAUCUUUACAUGAUCUGAGUUCAGACCGGUGUAAGCCAGGUCGGUUUCUAUCUUUAGUAAAUUAAAAUAUUUUAGUACGAAAGGACCAAUUAUUUGAUAUAUUAAUAUUUAUAUUUUGAUUAUUAUUAA